CGGCCCCGCGGCUCGGUGUGCGGCGGCGGCGGCACCGGGAGCGGCGGCGGCGGCGGCGGCGGGGGCUGGGGCGCGUCGGCCCCGCAGCUGCGGCUCGUUGCGCUCCGCUCGGCCCCGCUCCGCCCGGCCCGGCCCGGCCCGGCCCUUAACAACGCCGCGGCCGCAGCGCGCCGCAUGUGAGCCGGGAGGGCACCGCGACCGCCCCGCGCCGCCCCGCACCGCCCCCGCGCACCGGCCCCGCACCGGCCCCCGCUCCCGGCCCCGCGGAGCUCCGGAGCAGCCGGCACCCCCGCCCCCGGCACCCCACCAUGAGCAACCUCAACAAGGACACCGAGCACACCAACGGCAGCGGCAACGUCGAGGAGGAGGUACGGACGCUGUUUGUCAGUGGCCUUCCUGUGGACAUCAAACCCAGAGAGCUUUACCUGCUCUUCCGACCAUUUAAGGGUUAUGAAGGGUCACUGAUCAAGCUAACAUCAAAGCAGCCAGUUGGUUUUGUGACCUUUGACAGCCGGGCUGGUGCUGAAGCAGCAAAGAACGCCUUAAAUGGCAUCCGCUUCGACCCAGAGAACCCCCAGACCUUGCGGUUAGAGUUUGCUAAGGCCAACACAAAGAUGGCCAAGAGCAAGCUGAUGGCCACACCAAACCCCACCAAUAUCCACCCUGCCCUGGGCGCACACUUCAUUGCACGAGACCCCUAUGACCUGACUGGAGCAGCUCUCAUUCCAGCAUCCCCAGAAGCAUGGGCUCCCUACCCACUGUACACCACGGAGCUAACCCCCGCCAUCCCCCAUGCCGCGUUCACGUACCCAGCGGCUGCUGCUGCAGCUGCUGCUCUUCACGCUCAGUGAACUCCAGCCAUGAUGCCAGCGCAGGCUAGCCCUGAAGCUCAGAGCUGUCCCUGGAGAUGGGACACCCUAGUGAUGCCUUUUUGCAGCUAGUGGAGUGGCUGUACUACAGCUCCAUUCCUAGAAGUGUUAAGCAUGAUGGCAGCCCCGUCUGGAAAGACUGAUGCGCUGGUAUCCUCCCUCCGAAGCUACCCAGCAAGGAUGGAAGUCUCGUCAGUUUUGUUAGCUCGUUAAGUCUCUCCUAGGCUCCUGUUCCUCCUUCCCGCCUCUCCGCGGAGGGACGUGCCAGGGACGAUCGCUCAGGCUCCUUUUGGUUCGGUUUGCGGCCGAGGCGCCCGCGGGGCUGCGGGCCUGCCCGGCACGGGCGGCGAAGCCACGGCGGGGGCCCCCGCGCUGCCUCCGGCCCCCCGCCCGGGAGGGCUCCCGACUGCCCCUCGCUGCCCGGCCUCGCCGCGUCCCGCAGCCCGCCUCUCCCCUCCCCGACCCCCCGGGCGGCUCGGCUGAAGGAAACGAAAGGCCAUCGGUUUUGCAUGUUUUUCUGGCAUGAAUUAAAACACUUAACUUGUGUAUGUGUGAGUGUAAGUUUGUUUGUUCUAGCGUUUGUGUAACCGUAGCAACAGGUCUUGGCCCGCGGAUUGAUCCAGCAAGGUUUUCGUCUUGCUUCGGUGAAGACUUGGCUUUUGAGAAAUACUAACUGUCCUUGUCUCACCCCUUCUUCCACCUCUGCUGCCCUCCCCCUUCCCAGUACGACCAGAAGAAUUUGAAAAAUGUUUUUUUUCCUUUUUUUUUUUUUUUUUUUUUUUCUUCAAGUACGAUGCACUGGGUUUCUGUUCUCAUCCAUUCUCCGGUUUUAAAGUCAGGGUUAUUAUAUUUUUCCUCAGACUUCUAUAUAUAGAACGGCUGUAAGAUAUCUAACUUUUUUCUUUGCCUUUUUUUUUUUUUUUUCACAUCCUUCUGAUUGGAGAGAAUCCAGUCCUGCCAAAUAAUCAGCCAUCCUUAUGGGAAUACCGAACAAAAAAGUACGAGUAUUUUUGUACCAUGUGUAAUAAGGAAAUAUUUAUGCAUCAUAAAGAAUUUCUUGUGUGUUUGUGUGCAAUUAAUUAUUAUUAUUAUUAAAGAGAAAUUGUAAUCCUGUAAGAUAAGUUAAUGUUUAGUUAAAAAAGCUUGAAAGAGAAGGGUUGUCUUCUGUAACAAUGAUUCAGUCAGGCAUAGUAAACAAGAAAUUGUGCAAUUUUUGUUUUAGCAUCUUAUUGCUUGGUAUUGAAGUGCUUUAAGUAUUAUACGACCAUGGCUGUCUUGCUUGUAUUAAAAGAUUUGAGAAUAAGUUGCUAUAAUUGCUGAUCCUAUGAGAAUGUGAAACUGGAUAAUAUAUGAAAUGCAAAAAAAAUAUAUAUAUACCCAGAGGCUGCUGUGACUCUUUUCUGUAA
RNA transcript from Dromaius novaehollandiae (emu), 2275 nucleotides. It is a transcript of the gene named RNA binding protein, mRNA processing factor 2, with no coding region annotated. NCBI's taxonomy places the organism in Eukaryota, Metazoa, Chordata, Aves, Casuariiformes, Dromaiidae. The record is from RefSeq and is a predicted model, not a curated record. The transcript has 9 exons.